UACGUAGGGUCCGAGCGUUAAUCGGAAUUACUGGGCGUAAAGCGUGCGCAGGCGGUUUUGUAAGACAGAUGUGAAAUCCCCCGGGCUUAACCUGGGAAUGGCGAUGGAGACUGCGAGGCUAGAGUUUGGCAGAGGGGGGGUAGAAUUCCACGUGUAGCAGUGAAAUGCGUAGAGAUGUGGAGGAACACCGGCGGCGAAAGCGGCCACCUGGACGAGGACUGACGCUGAGAUGCGAAAGCGUGGGGAGCAAACAGG
Molecule: ribosomal RNA, 255 nt
Filed under: uncultured bacterium
Lineage: Bacteria
Description: partial 16S ribosomal RNA
Rfam family: Bacterial small subunit ribosomal RNA
Source: RNAcentral